Perca fluviatilis (European perch) is the source of this 404-nucleotide long non-coding RNA. RefSeq lists it as uncharacterized. The record is from RefSeq and is a predicted model, not a curated record. Lineage: Eukaryota; Metazoa; Chordata; Actinopteri; Perciformes; Percidae. The transcript is spliced from 3 exons.
UUCUGAUGCGCUAGUUUGUUUACCUGCUGCACACGUCACGCCCUUAAUUGGCAUAAGCCACACCUGCCUACCUGUUGAGGACCAAGUGGAACUGCGCCCAAAUUUUGUGCUGCAACAACUUGUGGAGAAAAACUGGAGCUGGCCUUGGGGGAGGACUCCUUCAGACUUGUAGUGGACGACUUUUAAAGUUUCUGUGGAGUUUUAAUAGACUGGUGAGACGGAUGGCCUAAGUGGAGAACUUCUACAACACAUUGACUCCAUGAAGGACGGACUUGUGGAUGGAGUUUUUCAAGCAGACCUCAAUAAUUCUAUUGCAUCAUGACAAAUUCUCAAACCUUGGACGUUGAUCAUCGCUUCUGUUUUACGUCCAUCUACCUCAAAGCGGUAUUUCCCAGAGUGCUCUU